UGCUUGCACUAAAUGAAACUAGAUACAAGCGAGCGGCGGACGGGUGAGUAACACGUUGGGUAACCUGCCCAAGAGACUGGGAUAACACCUGGAAACAGAUGCUAAUACCGGAUAACAACACUAGACGCAUGUCUAGAGUUUGAAAGAUGGUUCUGCUAUCACUCUUGGAUGGACCUGCGGUGCAUUAGCUAGUUGGUAAGGUAACGGCUUACCAAGGCAAUGAUGCAUAGCCGAGUUGAGAGACUGAUCGGCCACAUUGGGACUGAGACACGGCCCAAACUCCUACGGGAGGCAGCAGUAGGGAAUCUUCCACAAUGGACGAAAGUCUGAUGGAGCAACGCCGCGUGAGUGAAGAAGGGUUUCGGCUCGUAAAGCUCUGUUGGUAGUGAAGAAAGAUAGAGGUAGUAACUGGCCUUUAUUUGACGGUAAUUACUUAGAAAGUCACGGCUAACUACGUGCCAGCAGCCGCGGUAAUACGUAGGUGGCAAGCGUUGUCCGGAUUUAUUGGGCGUAAAGCGAGUGCAGGCGGUUCAAUAAGUCUGAUGUGAAAGCCUUCGGCUCAACCGGAGAAUUGCAUCAGAAACUGUUGAACUUGAGUGCAGAAGAGGAGAGUGGAACUCCAUGUGUAGCGGUGGAAUGCGUAGAUAUAUGGAAGAACACCAGUGGCGAAGGCGGCUCUCUGGUCUGCAACUGACGCUGAGGCUCGAAAGCAUGGGUAGCGAACAGGAUUAGAUACCCUGGUAGUCCAUGCCGUAAACGAUGAGUGCUAAGUGUUGGGGAGGUUUCCGCCUCUCAGUGCUGCAGCUAACGCAUUAAGCACUCCGCCUGGGGAGUACGACCGCAAGGUUGAAACUCAAAGGAAUUGACGGGGGGCCCGCACAAGCGGUGGAGCAUGUGGUUUUAAUUCGAAGCAACGCGAAGAACCUUACCAGGUCUUGACAU
RNAcentral lists this ribosomal RNA (942 nucleotides) under uncultured bacterium. Its description in RNAcentral is "bacterial SSU rRNA". It matches the Rfam family "Bacterial small subunit ribosomal RNA", at positions 65 to 987 of the family's 1533-position model. The record is from RNAcentral.